CAGUGGGGAAUAUUGCACAAUGGGCGCAAGCCUGAUGCAGCCAUGCNGCGUGUAUGAAGAAGGCCUUCGGGUUGUAAAGUACUUUCAGCGGGGAGGAAGGGAGUAAAGUUAAUACCUUUGCUCAUUGACGUUACCCGCAGAAGAAGCACCGGCUAACUCCGUG
This 163-nucleotide ribosomal RNA is filed under the name uncultured Escherichia sp. RNAcentral's name for it is "partial 16S ribosomal RNA". It matches the Rfam family "Bacterial small subunit ribosomal RNA", at positions 352 to 507 of the family's 1533-position model. The record is from RNAcentral. Lineage: Bacteria; Pseudomonadati; Pseudomonadota; Gammaproteobacteria; Enterobacterales; Enterobacteriaceae.